This 314-nucleotide ribosomal RNA is filed under the name Listeria monocytogenes. RNAcentral's name for it is "partial 16S ribosomal RNA". It matches the Rfam family "Bacterial small subunit ribosomal RNA", at positions 1229 to 1533 of the family's 1533-position model. The record is from RNAcentral. Lineage: Bacteria; Bacillati; Bacillota; Bacilli; Caryophanales; Listeriaceae.
AAUGGAUAGUACAAAGGGUCGCGAAGCCGCGAGGUGGAGCUAAUCCCAUAAAACUAUUCUCAGUUCGGAUUGUAGGCUGCAACUCGCCUACAUGAAGCCGGAAUCGCUAGUAAUCGUGGAUCAGCAUGCCACGGUGAAUACGUUCCCGGGCCUUGUACACACCGCCCGUCACACCACGAGAGUUUGUAACACCCGAAGUCGGUAGGGUAACCUUUAUGGAGCCAGCCGCCGAAGGUGGGACAGAUAAUUGGGGUGAAGUCGUAACAAGGUAGCCGUAUCGGAAGGUGCGGCUGGAUCACCUCCUUUCUAAGGAA